RNAcentral lists this ribosomal RNA (406 nucleotides) under uncultured bacterium. RNAcentral's name for it is "partial 16S ribosomal RNA". It matches the Rfam family "Bacterial small subunit ribosomal RNA", at positions 29 to 526 of the family's 1533-position model. The record is from RNAcentral.
AUCGAACGCUGGCGGCAGGCCUAACACAUGCAAGUCGAACGAGUGGCGCACGGGUGAGUAAUGUCUGUGAAACUGCCCGAUGUAGGGGGUUAACUAUUGGAAACGGUAGCUAAUACCGCAUACCAUCGGAUGUUCCCAGAGGGGAGUAGCUAGUAGGUGGGGUAAGGGCUCACCUGGGCGACGAUCCCUAGCUGGUGUGCGAGGAUGACGAGCGAGACGGGAAAUGAGGCACGGUCCAGACUCCUAAGGGAGGCAGGAGUGGGGACUAUGGCACAAUGGGCGCAAGCCUGAUGAAGCCAUGCCGCGUGCAUGAAGAAGGCCUUCGGGUUGUACAGGACGUAAAGCGAGGAGGCGUUACGCGCAGAAGAAGCACCGGCUAACUCCGUGCCAGCAGCCGCGGUAAUUC